This 666-nucleotide small RNA is filed under the name Pongo abelii (Sumatran orangutan). RNAcentral describes it as "processed transcript". The record is from RNAcentral. Lineage: Eukaryota; Metazoa; Chordata; Mammalia; Primates; Hominidae.
GUGGGUCGAGCUGGGGCGCAGCUCGCAUGGGGGAGUCUAUCCCGCUGGCCGCCCCGGUCCCGGUGGAACAGGCGGUGCUGGAGACGUUCUUCUCUCACCUGGGUAUCUUCUCUUACGACAAGGCUAAGGACAAUGUGGAGAAGGAACGAGAGGCCAACAAGAGCGCGGGGGGCAGCUGGCUGUCGCUGCUGGCGGCCUUGGCGCACCUGGCCGCGGCCGAGAAGGUCUAUCACAGCCUCACCUACCUGGGGCAGAAACUAGUCGCAGGCUCGACUCGGCAUUCCCAGAUCUCCUCCCACCGUUCCUUUCCUUCCCUAGGCUUCCACAAGCCCCGCCCACCGGCCUGCGCUGCUGAUAGAUUGGCGAACUGGGUAGAUGCUCUUUGCAGGGCUGUGACCCAAACCGAAGGGUUUGCCCUUUUGCCUCGUGCAUGGAUUGAUGCCAUAAAUGAGAAGUUAACCAAACUAUGUCUUCAUUGUUUUAAUUAGUGACGCUGCAGCCAGAAGAGCAAAACUUUGCGAAACAACCUAGUUCUAUUGCUGAACACUGUUGUGUGGCCUCUUAAGGUUAAGGCCCGAGAGUCACAUUUGGAGUCCUACCCCGUCUUCAUAGUCCCCCAAUACAUAUUUAAUGACUAAAGUAAUAAAUGAAUAUUGGGCAGGAAAG